Molecule: small RNA, 102 nt
Filed under: Flavobacterium noncentrifugens
Lineage: Bacteria; Pseudomonadati; Bacteroidota; Flavobacteriia; Flavobacteriales; Flavobacteriaceae
Description: Flavo-1 RNA
Rfam family: Flavo-1 RNA
Source: Rfam by way of RNAcentral
CCCUAGCCCUGAUAGAAGCGGCAUCCUUUUUUGCCUCGGAUUUUCAUUCUUCCGAAGACCGAUGCUGUGGCAAAAAAGAUAUAGCGGACAGCAGGAAAUAGC